CCGAGCCAAAGCAGCAGUGUGUUGUCCCCCACAGCCUUGUAACGCCAGACAGAAGUCCCUUCUCCCUCCCUCUCUCCCCGUCCCCUUCUUCUUCCUGUUCUUCUCCUCCUCCUCCUCCUGCUCCUCCUUCUCCUCUUUGGUUUUAUGAGACUGGGUCUCCUUGUGUAUUCAAGACUGGCCUUCAACUUGCAGCAAUCUUCCUGCCUCAGUCUCCCAAAUGUUGGGGAUACGGGCAUGUGCCACUACACCCAGUUUAAAUCUCUUCAUUAUUCUUCCAAGCUCACUCCAAAAGUUGACAGCUUUGCCCUUGCUGCUAAGCCUCCACCUCACUCCGUGGAAAACACAGCAGCGUCUUUGGCCGCUGUCCAGCCUGAGGCCCCACUGCCCACCAGCGUGGUGGUCUAUGUCCUUUGUCUGUGAAAUGGGUGAAUUGAGGUUAUCAGUCUCAGGGUCCUGGUGCAGGGGUGAGUGAAUCCACCAUGCACCCCACACGGGGUUGACACUCCGUAAAUGCCAGUGUCCAUGCCAGCCUCUCCUGCCCUGCCCACUGUCCUGUCUGGUCACCUCUUCCUGUCCCUCCCCCUCAACGCCCUACCUGACUACUCUACACGCUUGGGGGUAGCUCAUGCCCUCAGCUGCGGAAGAAUCAGGACAGGAAGUGACACCCUAAGCCUCUCCCCACCACGGCCUCAGUCCGGGCCCUGCCCCGCUCCCUGCCUCGUCCACCCAACCCGGUCUGUCCAGGGCUGGCUCAUGGCCUCCCUGGUCAGGGCCUCUUCCCCGUCCCUCUGUUCUAGGGCAUCCCCUCCCUGGCUGCCUGGCUGCGUCCCCACGACCGUCCUGUUGUGGAGUCUGUUGCGUCUGGCAUUUCUCAAUCUGAGUUUCCACAAGCACUCCGGGCCAGCACCGGGCUGCUUGCCGGCCACCAGAUGA
RNAcentral lists this long non-coding RNA (933 nucleotides) under Chinchilla lanigera (long-tailed chinchilla). RNAcentral describes it as "lncRNA (ENSCLAG00000026152.1)". The record is from RNAcentral. Lineage: Eukaryota; Metazoa; Chordata; Mammalia; Rodentia; Chinchillidae.